RNAcentral lists this long non-coding RNA (911 nucleotides) under Cricetulus griseus (Chinese hamster). RNAcentral's name for it is "lncRNA (ENSCGRG00015038505.1)". Lineage: Eukaryota; Metazoa; Chordata; Mammalia; Rodentia; Cricetidae. The record is from RNAcentral.
CUCCACACCAGCCUCCCCCCUCCUCCCCACACCCCAGCAUCUCCCACAGGCUCCUAUUUUCCCUUCCUCUAGAUGGCAUCCGGUGGAGUAGGUCCUACACAGCAAUCAAUAAUGAGGGAAGGCUCAGAGAAGGUUUUAGGACACCCAGCUCUGUCCCGAGGAAGGUAGCUCUGUGCUGAACACCAGGAGUGAACGCAAAUCAAAAUCAGUUUCCUCUCAGACACCUCCUAGACAAGAAUGGAAGGAGUUAGGGAACCGAGGCUCGGCAAGCUUGCGAACUGGCCCGGGGCUUCAGCAAGCAUGUCACCGGUGGAUGGGGGCUUCCUGAGGCAGAGGCUGUGCUGGCGUUGGAGCUGCUCGCACCAGUGCAAACAAGGCAACAGGAAGGCAGUUGGGAGCCAUGGAGGAUUCCAACCAUUGGCAGGCCUCAGGCACCAAGAGCAGCUGGAGAAGAGCUGAGUUCCCCUGGCAGCGGGGCAGAGACUCUGACUAGCAAAGAAGGGGUGAUCUCAUCCCCUCUCCUUCCUCUCCUUCCUCCCCUGUCCUGGGGCUGGCAGCUCCCCGUGAAGCCACUACGCACAUCCUUCAGCAUGACAUUGGAACAUCACCGGGGGAGUGGAGGGUAACGGAGCACCAUCCCAGGCGGUAAUGGCUCCAACGCCUAGAGGAAAAUGACAUAAAUAAUGUCCCAUUAGAGGCGCCGAGCUGCUCUGCCGAGUGCCUUGUUUUGCCCGCGACAUGAUGGUCUUCAUAAACAGACUCAUUUGUUUUCCAGCCCUUGUUUGGGCGAGGUGGGGGUGGGGUGCCGAGGAAGGUGACCCGGCAUCGAGGGCAGCAAUGGGGACCUAAUUGCUGCCCAGACUGCGGCCUGGUGCCGGCGCCCACCAUCCAUCUGCUCAGUCUUCGGAAAC